AAGUCGAACGGGAAACUUUUCAUUGAAGCUUCGGCAGAUUUGGUCUGUUUCUAGUGGCGGACGGGUGAGUAACGCGUGGGUAACCUGCCUUAUACAGGGGGAUAACAACCAGAAAUGGUUGCUAAUACCGCAUAAGCGCACAGGACCGCAUGGUCCGGUGUGAAAAACUCCGGUGGUAUAAGAUGGACCCGCGUUGGAUUAGCUAGUUGGCGGGGUAACGGCCUACAAAGGCGACGAUCCAUAGCCGGCCUGAGAGGGUGAACGGCCACAUUGGGACUGAGACACGGCCCAGACUCCUACGGGAGGCAGCAGUGGGGAAUAUUGCACAAUGGGGGAAACCCUGAUGCAGCGACGCCGCGUGAAGGAAGAAGUAUCUCGGUAUGUAAACUUCUAUCAGCAGGGAAGAUAGUGACGGUACCUGACUAAGAAGCCCCGGCUAACUACGUGCCAGCAGCCGCGGUAAUACGUAGGGGGCAAGCGUUAUCCGGAUUUACUGGGUGUAAAGGGAGCGUAGACGGACUGGAAAGUCUGAUGUGAAAGGCGGGGGCUCAACCCCUGGACUGCAUUGGAAACUGUUAGUCUUGAGUGCCGGAGAGGUAAGCGGAAUUCCUAGUGUAGCGGUGAAAUGCGUAGAUAUUAG
Molecule: ribosomal RNA, 640 nt
Filed under: uncultured Lachnospiraceae bacterium
Lineage: Bacteria; Bacillati; Bacillota; Clostridia; Lachnospirales; Lachnospiraceae
Description: bacterial SSU rRNA
Rfam family: Bacterial small subunit ribosomal RNA
Source: RNAcentral